RNAcentral lists this ribosomal RNA (495 nucleotides) under uncultured bacterium. RNAcentral's name for it is "partial 16S ribosomal RNA". It matches the Rfam family "Bacterial small subunit ribosomal RNA", at positions 28 to 507 of the family's 1533-position model. The record is from RNAcentral.
GACGAACGCUGGCGGCGUGCCUAAUACAUGCAAGUAGAACGCUGAAGGAGGAGCUUGCUUCUCUGGAUGAGUUGCGAACGGGUGAGUAACGCGUAGGUAACCUGCCUGGUAGCGGGGGAUAACUAUUGGAAACGAUAGCUAAUACCGCAUAAUAGUAGAUGUUGCAUGACAUUUGCUUAAAAGGUGCAAUUGCAUCACUACCAGAUGGACCUGCGUUGUAUUAGCUAGUUGGUGGGGUAACGGCUCACCAAGGCGACGAUACAUAGCCGACCUGAGAGGGUGAUCGGCCACACUGGGACUGAGACACGGCCCAGACUCCUACGGGAGGCAGCAGUAGGGAAUCUUCGGCAAUGGACGGAAGUCUGACUGAGCAACGCCGCGUGAGUGAAGAAGGUUUUCGGAUCGUAAAGCUCUGUUGUAAGAGAAGAACGGGUGUGAGAGUGGAAAGUUCACACUGUGACGGUAUCUUAACAGAAAGGGACGGCUAACUACGUG